Molecule: ribosomal RNA, 250 nt
Filed under: uncultured bacterium
Lineage: Bacteria
Description: partial 16S ribosomal RNA
Rfam family: Bacterial small subunit ribosomal RNA
Source: RNAcentral
UGGGGAAUAUUGGACAAUGGGCGCAAGCCUGAUCCAGCCAUGCCGCGUGAGUGAUGAAGGCCUUAGGGUUGUAAAGCUCUUUCGGCGGGGAAGAUAAUGACGGUACCCGCAGAAGAAGCCCCGGCUAACUUCGUGCCAGCAGCCGCGGUAAUACGAAGGGGGUUAGCGUUGCUCGGAAUCACUGGGCGUAAAGCGCACGUAGGCGGGUUGUUAAGUCAGGGGUGAAAUCCUGGAGCUCAACUCCAGAACU